This 23-nucleotide microRNA is filed under the name Salmo salar (Atlantic salmon). RNAcentral's name for it is "ssa-let-7c-2-3p". Its record names the gene ssa-let-7c-2-3p. Lineage: Eukaryota; Metazoa; Chordata; Actinopteri; Salmoniformes; Salmonidae. The record is from miRBase by way of RNAcentral.
CGGUACAACCUUCUAGCUUUCCU